Non-coding RNA from Callithrix jacchus (white-tufted-ear marmoset), 9443 nucleotides. The record is from RefSeq and is a predicted model, not a curated record. NCBI's taxonomy places the organism in Eukaryota, Metazoa, Chordata, Mammalia, Primates, Cebidae.
CCACAACCCCACAGGCUUCUCUUGUUGCUGUGACAAUGGAACUGGGAAGGAGGUGGGACUAUGGGGAAGGUUUCCCUUAGGAACAUCCUAGGUGGGCCUGACCAACUUGGUUCCCUGGCAUGCUAAGCCCUUCCUGAGUUCCAGAACUCUCCAUUCUGCUUUGUUCUCUGCUCAUCCAUCACUUUACCCUUUAUCUGAAAGUCUUCUGUCUUCUCUCUGCUUACCUGACUGGAACCCUUCUAGUGCCUGGCACAGAGCCUAACACUCAGCAAAUGAUUGUUGAAGAUGGAAUUAAUGAUGGAAGCAUUAAAAGCCUGGCAGACAGAGUGAGAUGGGGGGUGCCGAGGAAGGCACUUCUCUGGGUCUCAGUUACCAUCUCUGUAUAAAAAGGCAGAGCAAAUCUGAUGAAACUCAGCCUGGACAUAAUGUUGGCCAGCAGCCGGGAAAGACAGACCCACUGAUUUCCCCCACGGGUACAGCUGGGAUUGAUGGAAGUGACCAAGUAAAUAAGCAUCUUCAUGAGGCGUCCCAGGGCACUUUCCCUAAACCCCAAAGGAACAGAAUUCCCACCUGUGUCUGUGCCAUGCCUGGGACCUGAACUCUGGGUGAGCAGUCCUCUUUGCAUUAUGAUGCUGGUGCAGCAGCAGACAGUCUUGGCUCCCACCCUCCUUUCCUCCCCAACCCACCCUGAUGUUCAGCUUCAGAAAGACAAAUGAGCAAAUCUCCCUCUCGAAUUGCUGUCCAACGGAGACAAGCAAGAUGCCCUCCCAGGAACCAGUAUUGUGAUCACAGCAUAUGCAGUUUUCCUCUGGCUGGUGACCCAGCAGAGCUGGGGUGGAGGAGUCCCUCAUGCUCCACUCUGGAGCAUAGACCUUGCUCUCAGCUGUUCAUUUCCUCCUCCUGGACUGUCCAGCCCAGGGCUGAUAAUCAGGUGCAACCUCCUUGGCAUUUAGCUCUGAAAUUCUGCUUUAACCUUCACCUGCACAAGCAGUUUAUAAUAACAAGAGCAACCACUUACUGAGGGCCUUUUGGACCCUUUCUGUAUACAAUGCCUAUUGGAUGCUUUCUCUAAAUAGUCGAAAGAGCGGGGUUGUGGGAUAUAAUCAUAAAGCUACUUUUGUUGUCCCCCUCCCCUGUUGUUGUAUAAUUCCAGGACUGGUCCUCUCUGCCUCUGAAUGAAUGUCAGCCAGGCCCCUGUGCUAUGAAUUUGUUAUUUGUAGGUAAUAAAAAUGUCAUCGGCAUCUGUGGUUCUGUUCAGUGAUGAAUGUGUCCAGUCCAGUGUAGGGUCACACCUCUGACUUCAUUUGCUCAGACUUGCUGCAGAAGCUGCGGUGGGAAAUGGGUACCGUCAGCUUCGUGUGUUUUCUCUAAGAGAGUGGUAAAUUUGCCCUCCAAUCUCUUCCCCAGCCAGGCUGCCCUUGCCCCUUUAAGGUUGGUGAGGGCACACUGGGAAGAGAUAAGGGGUAGAAAAAGGUCUCGAUUAACUGGGAUGGUUGCUGUGAGCUGGGUCCUACAGGAUGCCAUUCUCUGGUGUGAACUUUGGAACUCUGUCUCCAUUGGCUUCGAAACACAAGAUCUUUGUAGGGACUAGAAAAAAAGAUAUCAGACAGCCUCAAGUAUGCCCUGCUUGGCAAAUGGAUGCUGUCUUGUGCAAGUCAGAAAAAGCCUUUCCCUUUUUCUAGGUUUCUGCAAGCCUGCAUGGGUAUGCACAUCCUAAGAGCAGCGCAUGGCUGGAUGUCUGCAACACUCUUGAGCUAGAGCUUUUGUUCAUGCACUAAGGACACGUCCAUCUUCAGGGACCCUGUAUGCACGUCUCUCACCUGUAGUUCACCAGCCCUAGAGCUGCACGAGCUCCACGUUCCAACUCUCCAGUCAUGCAUGACAUUCCAUCUGGCCUUGGCCCUUCAUGGCCCACCUUCACAGAUGCCCAUCAUGCCCAAAAAGAAUAGGCAAAGCAUCUUUCAAAUAUCCCCAGGUCAGCUUGCUUAUACAUGCUCGUUCUCUCUUUCCUGCCCGCCACAGAAAACAGUGGCCUUUGGUGGAAAUGUAGCUGCUUACCAACUUGCAGCCCUCUUCAGCCAUCCCGGGGCCCCUUAGAUUUCUCAGGUAUGAGUCAGACUCUAAUCUGCAGGGUUCCCCAAUCUUUAGGGGACAGAAAUCAAGCUCCCCAAGGGCUCUCUUCAAAGCCUAUUUAAGUAGGCUUCAGGAGGGAGGAGCGCACCCCUUCUUUCCUCUGACAGAUGACAGCCGGCCUUUCUGCAUUGAUAUGGUGAAUCUUGAUGGGGCACUGGCCACUUCUACUGCGGGUAUUAAAAUGGGACACACUGUCUCCCUUUGGACUGAGUCCUCUAAGACAGCUAUCUCCAAACUUAUUGGCACCAGGGACUGGUUUUGUGGAAGACCAGGUCAAGAGGAUGGUUCCAGCAUGAUUCAAGCACAUUACAUUUAUUGUGCACUCUAUUUUUAUUAUUACAUUUUAAUGUAUAAUGAAAUAAUUAUAAACUCACCAUAAUGAAGAGUCUGUAGGAGCUCUGAGUUUGUUUUCCUUCAACUAGAUGGUCUGAUCUGGGGGUGAUGGGAGACAGUGACAGAUCAUCAGGCACUAGAUUCUCAUAAGGAGCUCACAGCCUAGAUUCCUCACAUGCGCAGUUCCCAAAAGGAUUUGCACUCCUGUGAGGAGGCAUAGGUUCUGCAUGGUUUUCCAGAGUUCCUAUGAAGUUAUUUUUGAUGCCCACCAAAAUGGUAGCUGGCUUGAUUUUAAAAACCUUUUAUUGGCUUUUUUCUCUUCCCUGCCUCGCUUUCCCCGUGAUAUGGUUUGGCUCUGUGUCCCCAUUCAUAUCUCAUGUUGAAUUGUACUCCCAUAAUUCCCAUGUGUUAUGGGAGAGACCUGGUGGGAGGUAACUGAAUCACAGGGACAGUUUUCCCAUACUGUUCUCAUGGUAGGGAAUAAGAUCCUGUGAGGAUCUAAUGCUGCUGCUGAUCUGCCUGGAGCUCAGGCAGUAAUGAGAGGGAUGGGGAGCCUCUGUAAAUACAGAUGAAGCUUUACUUGCUCUCCCGCUGCCCACCUCCUGCUGUGUGGCAGUGUUCCUAACAGGCCAUGGACCAUUACCAGACUACGGUCAGGGCGUUGGGGACCCCUGAUCUAGGAAAGCCAAGAACAAAACAGUAAGUGCCAACUCAUCCGAUGCUCCAGAGUGAGGUCCAAGACUCUCAAUAUGACCAGCAAAGGAGGUGGCCAGAACUUGUUUCACGUCCCUUUAGCCUUUCCUCUAAUUUGAGGAUAUUAGAGGGUUCACAUUGAAGUGUGGAGAGGGGAGGAAAUUGGAAGGGAAAUUUUUUAGAUAGAGCUGAUGGAUGUUGUAUCCAUCUGUUGUAUGAUGGAGUUCUGUGACACAUUCUCUCCUGAUACUGGCAGUAGAAGUGGUCAGUGCCCCAUCAGAAUGUAUCAUAUCAACCCUAAAAGGCCAAUACCUUCUGUCAGUAUCGCCAUCUGUGUGUUUGGGGGCUUUCUCUGAAGAUGAGGAAGACCAGUCUGCCCGUUCCCAAGGUAGACCAGAAGUGCCAGGGAAUUCAUCCUCUAGGAGAAGCCAGCAGCCAAUGACUGAUGGGAGUUGGUAUAUAAAGCUCCCAGAUCCCUCACUGCUGAGUUGGAAGGAUGUUGAGGCAUAGGUUCUGCAUGGUUUUCCAGAGUUCCUAUGAAGUUAUUUUUGAUGCCCACCAAAAUGGUAGCUGGCUUGAUUUUAAAAACCUCUUAUUGGCUUUUUUCUCUUCCCUGCCUUGCUUUCCCCAUGAUAUGGUUUGGCUCUGUGUCCCCAUUCAUAUCUCAUGUUGAAUUGUACUCCCAUAAUUCCCAUGUGUUAUGGGAGAGACCUGGUGGGAGGUAACUGAAUCACAGGGACAGUUUUCCCAUACUGUUCUCAUGGUAGGGAGUAAGUCUCAUGAGAUCUGAUGGUUUUAUAAGGGGUUUUCAUUUUCGCUUCUGCCUCAUUUUCUCUUGCUGCCAACAUGUAAGAAGUGCCUUUCACCUUCCACCAUGAUUGUGAGGCCUCACCAGCCACAUGAAAUUAUGAGUCCAUUAAACCUGUUUUUCUUCCCUGUCUUGGGUAUGUCUCUAUCGGUAGCAUGAAAACAGACGAAUACAUCCCACUCCCCUUCCAUUACCUCCCAAAUAAGGUACUUACACUCAAAUCCUGAUCUCAGGGUCCCUGAUAUGGCUUGACUGUGUCCCCACCGAAAUCUCACCUUGAAUUGUAGUUCCCAUAAUCCCCACAUGUCAUGAGAGGGACCUGGUAGGAGGUAAUUGCAUCAUGGGGGUGGUUACCCUCAUACUGUCCUUGUGAUAGCAAGUGAGUUCCCACGAGAUCUGGUGGUUUUAUAAGGGGCUUCCCCCUUUGCUUGGCACUCUUACCUGCCGCCAUGUAAGACAUGCCUGCUUCACCUUCUGCCACGAUUGUAAGUUCCCUGAGGCCUUUCUAGCCAUAAGAAACUGUGAGUCAAUUAAACCUUUUUCCUUUAUAAAUUACCCUGUCUUGGGCAUUUCUUCAUAGCAGUGUAAGAAUGGAUGAAUACCAUCCCUUGCUGGUGGAACUUAAAGUAAGACAAAGCCCUGUUAUUCAGAUAAUACCUUUAUAACUAGCAUAUCUCUAAUCCUUUCCCAACCUUGCAAGAUGGGUGUCUUUUUUUCUCCACUGAGAAAGCAGAAGAUUAGGGUUAAUGUGGUUUAACAUGGCAGGACUGGGAUUCAACCUCAGAUUUAUAUGACUCCAAGAAAAUGCUCUUUUCCUCACACCAUUCUGCUCCCUAGCAGUUGUAAGCCAUUCCCUCCCACCUACAAAGUACAGUUCUUUAAAUGGCCACCCUUAGUCUCUGUUUAAUCUAGCACUUUCUUGAUGUUCAUAACCUUGGUUCUGAAUCAUUUGCUCAGUGCUAUUCCUCACUCUCCACUGCAACCUGCUUUUAAUACCCCCAACUUCUAGUUUCCGUUAGCCCUCCGGAUGCAACACUGGGUGCUUUCUUCCUGGCCCUUGACUUUGACUCAUCAUCCAGCUCCAUUGCCCUAGACUUGCCUUCAGAAAUAUUCUUCCUAGUUGGACUGUGUUCCAGGACUCCCGGUCUUGACAUUAUCCACUAUGGAUGAUGUGCUGGUUGGUUCAUAUCAUGGCUGUCCCUGUAAGUGUUCUUUCCUCUAUGCCCUAACAAUUCCUAUCCUGAGCUGGAGCAAAAUGAAUUUUUAUCCAUUGCUUAAAAUUUGAAAGCACAUCCAGGAAGUUGUACAUACUAGCCGAGCAAGCCUGAGUGCCUAUGAGGAGAACUUGGACACCACUGCUGGGAAUUGGCUAAGUGGGAAGAUUUUAAUUGUUCCCAGGCUUGUCGCAUCCACCUAAUUUUCUCUAACGAGCACACACAAAGCAACAAGGAGAGGUGCGGGAUUGGAUGGCAAUUCAACGCCUCAUAAUGCCAGAUGAAUUGCAACGCCUGCUCCACAGUAUUGCACUUGCCGAUGUCUGGGAGACAGUCUCCAUGGAUGCUAAUUCAAUUAUGCUGAAACAUAGAAGGAAAUUGGCAGCCAAAUUGCUGCCACGCUGCCGAGCUGUACCUCGCUUGUGUCCCCUGUGCUGUUUCCUGCUGAUUCAGCAGCACACGGUGGCUCUUCUAGUUUGAGAAUGACCAGGGGCUAUGUUCCACUUGGUAUGAUUCUUCAGGCAGACUUCCCAUCUUAGAACUCCAAAUAGAGAAACCAUUCCUUGUUAACCUUUUCCUUUCCUCCUUUCACUCCAGAAACACCUCUUGUUAUUUAGUCAUCAUCAAUAACAGAAGUAUAUAAGUUAAAGAGUACUGCAUUGUGCAUUGUACAUUGUACAAAGAGUACAUUGUUCAGCUAGUAACUGUUGACUGAGCAUCAGUUAAAGACAGAGGACACAGCAGGGAACAAAAACAGGCAUAAAUCUAUGCCUUUAGGAGCUUACCAUCCUGCCUCACUUUCCAAGGAGGGAAGACUACUGGUAAAAGUUUGAAAAAGAUUUUGAAGCAUCUUUCCCGAACAACCUUACAUAACUGGCAGGUUGUAUAGCACCUUUACUCUCUUGCUUAUUCUGAAGAAACAAGCUGCCUUGUUGUGAAUUACUCUAUGGAGGGAGAGACCCACAUGCUAAGGAACUGAGAGCAUGACCAUUGGGCAACAGCCCUGGACUGAAUCUUUCCAGCAACCUCUUGCAUGACCUUGGAAGAGGAUGAUUCCCCAUCCAAACCUUCAGCUGAGACUGCAGCCCUCCUGGUACCUUGAUUGUAACCUGGUGAGAGAUCCUGAGCCAGAAGACUCAGCUCAGAUGAGCCUAGAUUCCUGAGUUGUUUUAAGCUGUCAGGUUUUAGGGAAAUUUAUUAUGCAGUAAUAGACAACAAAUACAGUAUAUAAUGACAAACUUCAGAAAAAUGGAGGUAAAGUUCUUGGAGGGGGCACUUUUUUUCUAGUUCAAACAAAGAAGUAGUAUCAGUGUGGGUUAGCAGUAGUCACCCCCCUCUCAGCUUAGAUGUUGGGGAAGGGGGUUGUGGUUGGCUUCCCUAGGUCCUCUCUUUUCUCUGAUUGCUAGCCAAAGACCCAAGGGAGCAGAGGGAGGAGAGGCAAGGGCAGAUUAGGGCUCUCUUGACCAGUACUGUCACAAUUUGGCAUUGGUGCUCUCUGCCUGGCAGGUAUUUAAAGUUCCUCCAGCUUUGGCAUGUGAUCAAAGCUGAGUCAAUUUGAGGUGUAUUGUGGAUUCUUUGAGAUCCCCAUUAGGGGUGUCCACACUGCACAGUCCCCCAACUGUUCACCUGAGACCUGUGUUCAGGUGGGGAUUCUUCAGUUCCCCUCUUGUGGUGCCUUUUUCCCAAAUUCCAUAGCAGGUGGUAGCAUCUCUUGCUGCUCCUAUUGGGUGGGACGCUUCUAAGACGCCUCCAUUCCAGUUUCUCCACAUCUGCUUGAUUCAUGGGAAGCUCAUGCAUCCUUGGCACCUGGAGGGACUUAGCAUCUGCUUCUAGUGCUAUCCUCAGUCCUCUUCCUGAGAUCUCGAUAGGCUCCAGCCAAGGUCUGACUAACAUAUACAUUUUUCAGGUCUCAGUCAGAUGCCAUUCUCCCCAGACUCCAGGGAAUUCACAGCAAACUAGAGAUAUUUCCUGGAAGUUCCUCUCACCAGGCAAGGCUGUGGGAUUGAGACUAACUUCGUACUGGACUCCUUUCUCCAGAAAAAUCCUCUCCCCAGCUUCCAAUUCAACCUUUUCAGAGAUGGCCAUUGGCCCAAGAGUCAGAAAACGAUUUCCUUUUAGACCUUUUCAAAGCCAAUACCUUGCUUGGAAAUGUCAGGUAUUUGAACAUUUCAUUUUGUCUUUGGCCCGUGGAGCCUCAGCUGAAACCAAGACCCAAAGAUUCCAUUUUAGCAUCCUGUGAUAUGCAUGCAGUUGCUGUUCAAUCCAUGGUGUUUUGUUGCUUUUACACUGUUGUGGGAGAUUUACUGCACUGAUGGACCUAAGAUGCUGUGUCUGCAUCCACACUCUUUGCCAGGACUUUUUAGCCCCUCUCAUCAAGGGUUGAAGUCUAUUUCCCAGUUCUUGGAUUAGGCUAGUCUUGUGAUUGCUUUGACCAAUAGAAUGUGGCAGAAGGAACAUUAUACCUUUUCUGAGCCUGGGAACAAGACUCUGUAUGAUUUUGGCCUGUCUCUUGGAGUUCUCCUGCUGUUCUGUGAAUAACCCGUGGGUAGAAUGAAAGACCAUGUGAAUAAGAGCAAAGUCAGUUCCGUUGUCCCAGAUAUGCAAGAAAGCCCAACUAAGAUCAGCAGAGCCACCUAGCCUGACCACAGAGACACGUGCAAACCCCACCAAGCUCGGCUCAGAUGGCUCAGAUGCUUGGAACUGCCCAUGUGACCCACUGACUUGUGAGUGAAAAUAAUCAAUUGUUACCAUGUGCCACUGAGGUUUUGUGGUUGUUUGUUAUGCAGCUUUAUAAUAACUGAUACAUUGUACUGGGUAGCUAAUGAGAGAGUGUUUCUGAGCAGAGGACCCUCUCAAAUACCAGGUGACAAAACUGGCUGCUGGAAGACUGCUUUCCUUUUCCUUAGGCACCCUCAGUUUUGGCCUGGAUAGAUUCCUCCUGGGCUUGUCAAAACUUCCCAGAAUGCAGAACAGAAAACAGGGAUUCCUCUGGCAGCUUGUUAGGGUAAUUAAAAUGUGGGUGGAAGCUCAUUAAGCUCCCCUUUGUCAACAUUCUUCCUUCCAGGCCUGGAGAAGCUGUGAGUUCUGUCACAUCCCAUUAGCACUGUGUCUGGGUGGUUUCCGCACCUUUCCAGGCAAAUCAAACACACAGAGUCUACAUUCAAGGGAGAAAUAAAUUUAUUCCCAUGGAGAGGGGUGUGUUUACGGAAAUGUAAGGACACUGGGGUGGAUGAUAAGAAAGAGAAUGGGAAGAUCUAAGAAUGCUUUGGAAGUAUAAUACAUACAGCAAGCAUUUGAAGUCUGUUCUGAACAUCCUCAAGUUCCCUUCUAUUCCUGUCUCAGCGGGCCCCCUACAAAACGUGAUCUUUAUGGAAAAGAUUUUGGAGUCAAAAAGACUUUUGUUCCAGUCCCAACUGGGUCAUAAAAAUAAGACCAAUAAUAAUGUUAACUUGUAUUGAGCAUGUUUUGUUUGCCAGGCUCUGUGCUGUGAGUUUUAUAUAGAAAAAUUCUCAUUUAAUCCGAGACAAGAAGCUUCCUAAGAUCAGGAGUGGAUGCUUGUUUUUUAAUUUUUAAUUUUUGAGACAAGGUUUUGUUCUGUUGCCCAGGCUGGAUUGUAGUAGUGUGAUCAUGGCUCACUGCAGCCUUGACUCCCAGGCUCAAGCCAUCCUCCUGCCUCAGCCUCUUGAGUAGCUGAGACUAGAGGUGUGUGCCACCGCACCGGCUAACUGUUUACAUUUUAUGAGAUAGAUAGGGUUUCACUAUGUUGCCCAGACUGGUCUCAAACUCCUGGGCUCAAAUGAUCCUCCUACUCUGGCCUCCCAAAGUGCUGGGAUUACAGGGAUGAGCCACCAUGUCCAGCCAUAAUGCCCAUUUUGGUUUCCAGUAUAGAUCCAGUACACAGCACAAUUUUUUGCAUUAGAUGUUCAAUAACUGUUUAGUGAACAAACGAAUGAAUGACAAUCCCAUGAGGUGGAGGUAACUACACUUCAAGCUGAAGAAACAGAAGUUCUAUAACUGACCAACGUUUCCACAGCUAGUGAGUGGCAGGAGGGGCUUUAAGCCAGAAAUGUUGUUUUCAAGUGCCAUUAUUUCAUUUUGUCCUUGGAGUGUCUCUGGGAUUCCUGGAAAAUGGGAAUAUUAACAACACCUGUCUCAUGGGGCUGUUGCGACAAUCACAUACGUCAGGGAAGUAAAUAUGUAAGAGAUUACCUACCUGGCACACAAUAACAGCACACAUGCUAGCUUUGUUUAUCUUAUGUUUG